AUUUUCCUUCUAAUCUUCUAGGUUCUUGACUGAGACAACCUCCCCACCCCCCUCCCUGUAACAAAAGAUAGAUCAACAGAAGAAAAACAAACAGAAGUUUGAUGAAAUGGCAGUGCAGCGUUCAAAAAAAAUAGAGAAGUCCUCAACUCAGAACCCGUGCCCAGCAUGAUAAGCUCUGUGGAGCUUUCUCCUCUGCAUGCUGGAUGGAAUGCUUCUCUGGAUUCACAAAUCAUUUAAUAAAGCCAGUUACAUCUUCAAUUUUACUUGGCUCAGUUUUGUUAUUUAACACAGGUCAAUUUUUUUAUCCUUACCGUCAUCAUCAUCAUCACUUGGAGUUCAGUUUAGAAGGGUCCCAGAAAUAUGUAGACAG
Herpailurus yagouaroundi (jaguarundi) is the source of this 370-nucleotide long non-coding RNA. RefSeq lists it as uncharacterized. The record is from RefSeq and is a predicted model, not a curated record. The transcript has 3 exons. NCBI's taxonomy places the organism in Eukaryota, Metazoa, Chordata, Mammalia, Carnivora, Felidae.